UCUCAUCCAUAAAUCAUACAUUUAAUUGUCAAAGACUUGAAAAGGUUCGACUUUUCAUUUAACUACAAAAAUAUUAGGAAAUGAUUUAUAAGCGAUGGGCUGGAAAGAAAAAGGUGAUCGCAAUGCGUAAUGGAUGGCAUAACUUUUUUGUAAGUUGUCUUCGAGACAUAAACAGUAGUCUGGACUCCCGUGGAAAGCAAUUAAUAUGCACCCAUGGGGGCAAGACCGUAGUUGCGACGCCUCCUUGCCUCAUUACACUGCCAUUGAGGGCGUGUAUCGCGCUAUUUUAGUGGGCGUGGCGUCGGCACUUCACUAAUUGCUGAUGGAUAUGUAAAAUGCAAAAUGCAAUAUGGAAAAAUCAGAAAAUGCAAAUGGAGAUGCGGUCGUUGUCGAGGAAAGUGCAAUAUGAACGGCACAAUAAAUUUCACAUCUCUUACACAA
Drosophila ananassae is the source of this 441-nucleotide long non-coding RNA. RefSeq lists it as uncharacterized. NCBI's taxonomy places the organism in Eukaryota, Metazoa, Arthropoda, Insecta, Diptera, Drosophilidae. The transcript is spliced from 2 exons. The record is from RefSeq and is a predicted model, not a curated record.